GUCGAGGUGGUGGAAUGGUAGACACGCAGCGUUCAGAACGCUGUGCUCUUUGGAGCGUGCGAGUUCAAGUCUCGCUCUCGACACCA
RNAcentral lists this transfer RNA (86 nucleotides) under Candidatus Berkelbacteria bacterium CG_4_10_14_0_2_um_filter_35_9_33_12. RNAcentral's name for it is "tRNA-Leu". It matches the Rfam family "tRNA". From Rfam's summary of the family: Transfer RNA (tRNA) molecules are approximately 80 nucleotides in length. RNAcentral also lists the same sequence under 4 other names. Lineage: Bacteria; Candidatus Berkelbacteria. The record is from RNAcentral.